UAAUUCCGCUAAUCGGACUGGAGUUUGAGCCCCAGCUCUUGUCCUAAGCUGAGGCCUUUCCCCGUCAGGCGUCUAGGGGCCUCCAUCAUUUCUCUUGACAGGAGCCGUGGGCGUCUGGGCAGAUGGGAACGUGGGGGAGCUGUGGAGGACCCUCUCUGAGGCAGGAAGCUCCCACUCCUGUAGUUAAAAUACUCCAGCAGCAACUUGAGGAAGCCAUCUGGCCCAGAUCUCUCAGGGCCAAAAGCAGGAAGAGCAGGUGUGGGAAAUUCUCAAGGUCACAGAACCUUUGUGGAGUUGAAAAGAAGGCUCAGAUCAUCGAGUUUUACAGUUUCAUUUUCAGGUGAAGACACGGAAGCCCAGACGGGUAAAGAGACUCGUCGACAGUUGAACAAUAAACUAGCGAGCAGGGACCAACAGUGUGGUCCUCAUGGGUCCAGAGCAGGGCGGUUUCCGCAGCAGCAUGGAAGGACCCAGAAGCUAAACAUCCAAGACUGGGCCCUGUGUGAGUUUCUGGCUUGGAUGAAAGUGAAGACUAUACCAGAUAACAAGAGACAGGUGGAAGCUGAAGUGUGGUGUUCCAAGUCAGAGAUCUGGGUUGAGAUUCCCACCCUGCCACGCGCUAGCUACGUAACCCUGGGCAAGUUAUGUAACUACCUCAGGCGUCCGUUCCCUCACCUCCGAAAGAGGAUAAUCACAUUCCCCUCAUCACAGGACCAGGAUGAGGUUAAAGGCAGUAACCUGGGCCAAGCACCCAGUAUAAUGCUCAGCACAAAAUAGAUAGUAAUUUCCUUCACAUUUCCCGUGGAUUCUCUGUCCCUUCUGCGAUGGGCCUCUGCCCUCUAACUGGACAGAAGGGCACAUCUGUCAUAAAGAAAUCUGCAGGAUAGGGAGUGUCUGUGGUGAGUGUGAAUGAGGUGUGGACAAGGUGAGGAGGUUUGCGGGGCCCAAGUGCUCCUUGUUGAUGCGGGAGGUGGGAGGAAACCAAUUGGCAGAGUUAUUCG
This 1001-nucleotide long non-coding RNA is filed under the name Felis catus (domestic cat). RNAcentral's name for it is "lncRNA (ENSFCAG00000040909.2)". Lineage: Eukaryota; Metazoa; Chordata; Mammalia; Carnivora; Felidae. The record is from RNAcentral.